AUUAAUGAAAUAUGUACUGUCUCAUCUAUAUUUUAUGAAAUUAAAAUUUCAAUAAAAAUGUUGAAAUUUUUUUAUGGGACGAUAAGACCCUGUAGAAUUUUAUAUUGUUAUGAUUUAGUACUUAAUACUUAAUACUUAACAAUAUUUGGUUGGGAGGACUAUUAAAUUUAACAAACUUUAUAUUAGUAUAUACUUUGAUUAAAGAAAAAAUAAUGACCUUCAAAUUGAAAUUAAUAGAAUAAAUUACCUCAGGGAUAACAGCGUAAUAUUUUUUUAUAGACCUUAUAGAAAAAAGUGAUUGCGACCUCGAUGUUGAAUUAAGAUAAAUUUUAAAUGCAGGAGUUUAAUAAU
RNAcentral lists this ribosomal RNA (351 nucleotides) under Lepidotrigona ventralis. RNAcentral's name for it is "partial 16S ribosomal RNA". The record is from RNAcentral. Lineage: Eukaryota; Metazoa; Arthropoda; Insecta; Hymenoptera; Apidae.